CCUACGGGAGGCUGCAGUGGGGAAUAUUGCACAAUGGGGGAAACCCUGAUGCAGCGACGCCGCGUGAGUGAGGAAGUAUUUCGGUAUGUAAAGCUCUAUCAGCAGGGAAGAAAAUGACGGUACCUGACUAAGAAGCCCCGGCUAACUACGUGCCAGCAGCCGCGGGCAUACGUAGGGGGAAAGCGUUAUCCGGAUUUACUGGGUGAAAAGGGAGCGUAGACGGAAUUGCAAGUCUGAUGGGAAAAUCCCGGGUCCAACCCCGGGACUGCAUUGGAUACUGACUUUCGAGAGUGUCGGAGAGGCAAGUGGAAUUCCUGGUGAAGCGGUGAAAUGCGUAGAUAUAAGGAGGAACACCAGGGGCGAAGGCGGCUUGCUGGACGAUGACUGACGCUGAGGCUCGAAAGCGUGGGGAGCAAACAGGAUUAGAUACCCCUGUAGUC
This 440-nucleotide ribosomal RNA is filed under the name uncultured bacterium. Its description in RNAcentral is "partial 16S ribosomal RNA". It matches the Rfam family "Bacterial small subunit ribosomal RNA", at positions 338 to 795 of the family's 1533-position model. The record is from RNAcentral.